AUCAUGAAACCAGCAACAUUUAUAUCCAGACUGAUGCCAGAGGAGAGAUCGACUACUCAAGGUGUGGACCCAUGGACCACCUGGUUGUUUAUUAGAAAUGCAGAACUUGAAGCUUCACCCCAGAACUACUGAAACAAAAUUUGCUAACAAGAUCUCAGGUGGAAAGUAAAACCUACCAUCUAAGAUGGAGCUCCUCUCCAGGACAGAACUGAGACUGUGGAUUAGGUGAUGAAGCAAGGAAGAAUAGAAGGGAAUAAAAGACCAAAGGAAAGAUGGGAGGAGGAAGAAAUGGGAGAAAAGACACUGGAGACCAGACUUCAAAGACACUGCUAACUAUCCACCAAGAGACAUUAGUAGGGACUUUUUGGGAAAACAAAUGUUUUAUAUCAUCUGAAUCUAUGUAUGUUGGAAAUAAUAAGAUCAUAAUAUUUCCUUUUUGUAAAUUAUUUGUAGCUGCUUAGUAACUAAGUCUUUCAUCACUUUCUUCAUUUAUUUACUCAUCAACACAUUUCUUCAAUGCCUACAAUAUGUCACUGUUCUAGGCAGUAGAGAUACAUUCCUUAACGAGACAUAAAAUUCAUGGCUUCUUGGUUCUUAUAUUCUUGUGGGAAGAAGAGAGAGAGAAUUAAUAUGGGGAAAAUAUGAUUUCAGAUGUCAAAAUUAGAGAACUUCUCCAGGUAUAGUUAAAAAUAGAUAAUAAGACUAAGAGGACAAGUGGCGUUUGAAAUCAGUAUUUUGGUGAGGGAAGUGGACAGAACCAGGGAGGCUGCACAUCUAACAGAAUGAUGCAUCACCAUGCCUUAUUUCCAGUCAGUAUUCAGCACUCGGAUGGGCAUUGCAGCUUAGAUGGGAGGUGAAAAGGGAGUGUUCCUUGUACCCUGUGGGCAUUUUGUGGUAUUUCUCAAUUUCUUAUCUACAGCAUUCUCUUUUUGGGCUUUACACACAAGGCACUCUUAAUUUUCCUGCCUUCAGAUCUUGUUGCUCAACCUCUCUUGUACAUUUUUUUCUGGAUGUUAAAAGUAACAAAAAAUAUUUGCCCAAUUAUCACCUAAGAAAGCCUCCCAGCAACAUGACUUGCAGCUCCUGGGGCAUUUUCUGUGUGACACAUCUCUAUUUUAGAAGCUUCUGUGGGACAACCUGCAGAGUGGCCUAGUUGUUCAUCUGUGACUGGGUGAUGUGGCCCAGUGAUGUGGUAAAGGUUCUAACCCACUUCCCUUAAGGCAAAGGUUUUUCACCAUGUUCACUCUAGGUGUGUGAAUAAUAAUAACUGCGGUCUGUAUAGCGUGUGACAGUUUACAAGGGCUCUAGGUGUGUGAAUAAUGAUAACUGCUGUUUGUAUAGUGUGUGACGGUUUACAAGGGUGUUCAUCACACUGUCUAAUAUUGUUAUUUAUAUAUUACAGCUAAGAAAAUGGGUAUACAAAGACAGUAAGCAUCCUUCCCCAAAAUCUCUGUGCCCAGGAAGCAAGUGCCACGUCUUCUGAUUUCCAACCCGUCUGUUCUUCCCACUUUUCCAAUGCUGAUACUCCAUCAUAGUGAGUCCCUCUUCCUCUCCUUCUGCUGGCUUUUUCCUCUCCUUGUUAUAGUUUGGAAUUUUUUAAGGCUAAAGCAAAAGAAAAGAAAAAUCAAAGAAAAGAUUAAAAGCCAUCCUUAAUUAACUCCUUACAUUAUCUUACCUUACCUUUCAUUUUCAGUGCCUUGUUUAUAGGCAUGAAAUGCUUAGCAUUCUUCUAUCACCAUUUUAAAAAAUAAAAGUAGCAUUAUUAGAACCUCCCUUUACAAAUUGUAGACAACAUUGCUAGUCCUAUUGGCACUAAAUAGGACUAGUUUGUGACUUUAGAUCUCAAAAUAAACUAGGUCUUUUUUUUUUUUAACUUGUCGUUGUUGAUAUACACUAGUGUUAUUUGUUAAGGCCAUAAUUAAGAGAUAAUGUUUGGCUUUGAGAGGGAAUCUAACCACACAUAUCUCUCUGAGCACAAAAGCUUCAGUAAAACUUACUUUAAAUUUUGUGCAUUCUCACACUUAAUUUUCCUGACUUCAGGUCCCUUUGCUCAACCCCUCUUGUAGAUUUUUUUUUCUUCUGGAUGCUAACAACAACAAAAAAGCAUGCCAUCGAUAUCUGCGCAAUUAUCACCUAAUAAGCCUCCUAGAAACAUGACUUGCUGCCCAUGGGGCAUUUUCUGUGUGACACAGCUCUCUAUUUAAGAAGCUUUAGCUCCAGAGCUGUGGCUCACUCCUAGAAUCUCAGCAUUUUGGGAGGCUGAGGAGGGCAGAUCACCUGAGGUUAAGUGUUCAAGGCCAGCCUGGCCAACAUGGUGAAACCUCAUCUCUACUAAAAAUACAAAAAUUAGCCAAGCGUGGUGGCAUGUACCUGUAAUCCCAGCUACUUGGUGUCUGAGGCAAAAGAAUUGCUUGAACCCAGAAAGCAGAGGUUGCAGUGAGCCAAGAUUGCACCACUGCAUUCCAGCCCAGGCAACAGAGUGAGACUGUCUCAAAAAAAAAAAAAAAAAAAAAAAAAAAAAAAAAAAAGAAAGAAAGAAAGAAAGAAAGAAAGAAAGAAAGAAAGAAAGAAAGAAAGAAAAAGAAGCUUCAAGCUUUAGUGAGACUUGACUUCCAGAAUGACCUGGUUCUUCAUCUGUGAUGGGUGCUUCCCUGAAAAAAAGGUCAUUCAAGAAGAAAUUUCUUCCUCCUCAGGAAACUUUUCUUUUAUAGCUAAAGUAUUGAUUGUUUAGCCAAUUGCUGAAACUUGAG
Long non-coding RNA from Gorilla gorilla gorilla (western lowland gorilla), 2750 nucleotides. RefSeq lists it as uncharacterized. The transcript has 3 exons. The record is from RefSeq and is a predicted model, not a curated record. NCBI's taxonomy places the organism in Eukaryota, Metazoa, Chordata, Mammalia, Primates, Hominidae.